UUAGGGCACGACACCGGAGAGGGAGCCUGAGAACGGCUACCACAUCCAAGGAUGGCAGCAGGCGCGCAAAUUACCCAAUCCCAACACGGGGAGGUAGUGACAAUAAAUAACAAUACGGGGUUCUUAUGGAUCUCGUAAUUGGAAUGAGUACAAUUUAAAUCUCUUAACGAGGAACAAUUGGAGGGCAAGUCUGGUGCCAGCAGCCGCGGGUAAUUCCAGCUCCAAUAGAGUAUAUUAAAGUUGUUGCAGUUAAAAAGCUCGUAGUUGAAUUUCGGGAUCAAUUUAUCGGUCGUGCCAAUGGUAUGAACUGGUACAAUUGGUUUCUCCCUUCUGACGAAGCAUGAUGUCAUUAAUUUGGUGUCGUGGGGAAUCAGGACUGUUACUUUGAAAAAAUUAGAGUGUUUAAAGCAAGCAUUAGCUUGAAUACAUUAGCAUGGAAUAAUGAAAUAGGACGUUUGAUCCUAUUUUGUUGGUUUCUAGGAUCGACGUAAUGAUUAAUAGGGAUAGUUGGGGGCAUUAGUAUUCAAUUGUCAGAGGUGAAAUUCUUGGAUUUAUUGAAGACUAACUACUGCGAAAGCAUUUGCCAAGGAUGUUUUCAUUAAUCAAGAACGAAAGUUAGGGGAUCGAAGACNAUCAGAUACCGUCGUANUCUUAACCAUAAACUAUGCCGACUACGGAUCGGAUGAUGUUAAUUUUUUUAAUGACUCA
This 708-nucleotide ribosomal RNA is filed under the name uncultured Glomus. RNAcentral's name for it is "SSU rRNA". It matches the Rfam family "Eukaryotic small subunit ribosomal RNA", at positions 370 to 1078 of the family's 1831-position model. The record is from RNAcentral. Lineage: Eukaryota; Fungi; Glomeromycota; Glomeromycetes; Glomerales; Glomeraceae.